Molecule: ribosomal RNA, 756 nt
Filed under: Staphylococcus aureus
Lineage: Bacteria; Bacillati; Bacillota; Bacilli; Caryophanales; Staphylococcaceae
Description: bacterial SSU rRNA
Rfam family: Bacterial small subunit ribosomal RNA
Source: RNAcentral
UUUAUGGAGAGUUUGAUCCUGGCUCAGGAUGAACGCUGGCGGCGUGCCUAAUACAUGCAAGUCGAGCGAACGGACGAGAAGCUUGCUUCUCUGAUGUUAGCGGCGGACGGGUGAGUAACACGUGGAUAACCUACCUAUAAGACUGGGAUAACUUCGGGAAACCGGAGCUAAUACCGGAUAAUAUUUUGAACCGCAUGGUUCAAAAGUAAAAGACGGUCUUGCUGUCACUUAUAGAUGGAUCCGCGCUGCAUUAGCUAGUUGGUAAGGUAACGGCUUACCAAGGCAACGAUGCAUAGCCGACCUGAGAGGGUGAUCGGCCACACUGGAACUGAGACACGGUCCAGACUCCUACGGGAGGCAGCAGUAGGGAAUCUUCCGCAAUGGGCGAAAGCCUGACGGAGCAACGCCGCGUGAGUGAUGAAGGUCUUCGGAUCGUAAAACUCUGUUAUUAGGGAAGAACAUAUGUGUAAGUAACUGUGCACAUCUUGACGGUACCUAAUCAGAAAGCCACGGCUAACUACGUGCCAGCAGCCGCGGUAAUACGUAGGUGGCAAGCGUUAUCCGGAAUUAUUGGGCGUAAAGCGCGCGUAGGCGGUUUUUUAAGUCUGAUGUGAAAGCCCACGGCUCAACCGUGGAGGGUCAUUGGAAACUGGAAAACUUGAGUGCAGAAGAGGAAAGUGGAAUUCCAUGUGUAGCGGUGAAAUGCGCAGAGAUAUGGAGGAACACCAGUGGCGAAGGCGACUUUCUGGUCUGUAA